This 460-nucleotide ribosomal RNA is filed under the name uncultured bacterium. Its description in RNAcentral is "partial 16S ribosomal RNA". It matches the Rfam family "Bacterial small subunit ribosomal RNA", at positions 338 to 795 of the family's 1533-position model. The record is from RNAcentral.
CCUACGGGUGGCAGCAGUGAGGAAUAUUGGUCAAUGGGCUCACGCCUGAACCAGCCAAGUCGCGUGAGGGAAGACUGCCCUACGGGUUGUAAACCUCUUUUGCCGGGGAGCAACUGGCGCCACGUGUGGCGCCACUGAGAGUACCCGAAGAAAAAGCAUCGGCUAACUCCGUGCCAGCAGCCGCGGUAAUACGGAGGAUGCGAGCGUUAUCCGGAUUUAUUGGGUUUAAAGGGUGCGUAGGCGGAACGCUAAGUCAGCGGUAAAAUUGCGGGGCUCAACCUCUCUCCGCCGUUGAAACUGGCGUUCUUGAGUGGAAGAGAAGUAUGCGGAAUGCGUGGUGUAGCGGUGAAAUGCAUAGAUAUCACGCAGAACCCCGAUUGCGAAGGCAGCAUGCCGGCUUCCGACUGACGCUGAAGCACGAAAGCGUGGGGAUCGAACAGGAUUAGAUACCCUAGUAGUC